GGAUAACCGUAGUAAUUCUAGAGCUAAUACAUGUAUAAAGUCUUGUAGACUGCAUUUAUUAGAAUGAAAACCAUAGGUUUCGGCCUAUUCGUGAGUAAUAAUAACUAAUCAUAUCGUAUGCUUACGUAACGAUGUGUCUUUCAAGUUUCUGCCCUAUCAGCUUUCGAUGGUAGUGUAUUGGACUACCAUGGCAUAACGGGUAACGAAAAUUGGGUUCGAUUCGGAGAGGGAGCCUGAGAGUGGCUACCACAUCCAGAAGCACAGCGCGUAAUUACCCAUCCUGACCAGGAGGUAUGACAUAAAUCACAAUGCG
RNAcentral lists this ribosomal RNA (313 nucleotides) under Blastocystis sp. RNAcentral's name for it is "SSU rRNA". It matches the Rfam family "Eukaryotic small subunit ribosomal RNA", at positions 141 to 466 of the family's 1831-position model. Lineage: Eukaryota; Bigyra; Opalinata; Blastocystidae. The record is from RNAcentral.